This is a long non-coding RNA of Vanessa tameamea, 379 nucleotides long. RefSeq lists it as uncharacterized. The record is from RefSeq and is a predicted model, not a curated record. NCBI's taxonomy places the organism in Eukaryota, Metazoa, Arthropoda, Insecta, Lepidoptera, Nymphalidae. The transcript has 2 exons.
GGUAAAUAUAAAAAGCAUCUCGUUUUCGCAACUCUACGUUUUAAAACAAUAAGGGCAGUAUAUAUAACUCGUUUGCACCUAGCAUGCUUAUACGAAGCUGACCCUUCAAGAUGUCGCGACAUCUUUUCAUCAUAAUCGUCACAAUUUCCUUAGCACUGGCAGCACCGUCACCUGGACUCCACUUCUCGGUGCACUCGGCGCCACUUGUGCACAGUCCUGUAAUCCACCAUCCCUAUGUACAUCCAGUACCAGUGGUGCACAGUGUCCCGGUACACGCGUACCACCAAGUACACACGGUGCCGAUCGUCCACAGUCCCGUGGUACAUUAUAAAUUAAAAUCUCACUAUCAUGUACAUGGUUAAUAAAAAUGUUAAUUAAA